Molecule: ribosomal RNA, 523 nt
Filed under: Rhodocyclaceae bacterium
Lineage: Bacteria; Pseudomonadati; Pseudomonadota; Betaproteobacteria; Rhodocyclales; Rhodocyclaceae
Description: bacterial SSU rRNA
Rfam family: Bacterial small subunit ribosomal RNA
Source: RNAcentral
GAACUUAAGAGUUUGAUCCUGGCUCAGAUUGAACGCUGGCGGCAUGCUUUACACAUGCAAGUCGAACGGCAGCACGGGAGCUUGCUCCUGGUGGCGAGUGGCGAACGGGUGAGUAAUGCAUCGGAACGUACCCAGUAGUGGGGGAUAGCCCGGCGAAAGCCGGAUUAAUACCGCAUAUUUCCUGAGGGAGAAAGCGGGGGACCUUCGGGCCUCGCGCUACUGGAGCGGCUGAUGUCGGAUUAGCUAGUUGGUGAGGUAAAGGCUCACCAAGGCGACGAUCCGUAGCUGGUCUGAGAGGAUGAUCAGCCACACUGGGACUGAGACACGGCCCAGACUCCUACGGGAGGCAGCAGUGGGGAAUUUUGGACAAUGGGGGCAACCCUGAUCCAGCCAUGCCGCGUGAGUGAAGAAGGCCUUCGGGUUGUAAAGCUCUUUCAGGUGGAAAGAAAUCACUACCCCGAAUACGGGUGGUGGAUGACGGUACCAUCAGAAGAAGCACCGGCUAACUACGUGCCAGCAGCCG